RNAcentral lists this ribosomal RNA (452 nucleotides) under uncultured bacterium. RNAcentral's name for it is "bacterial SSU rRNA". It matches the Rfam family "Bacterial small subunit ribosomal RNA", at positions 64 to 507 of the family's 1533-position model. The record is from RNAcentral.
GAACGGUAGCACAGAGAGCUUGCUCUUGGGUGACGAGUGGCGGACGGGUGAGUAAUGUCUGGGAAACUGCCCGAUGGAGGGGGAUAACUACUGGAAACGGUAGCUAAUACCGCAUAACGUCUUCGGACCAAAGUGGGGGACCUUCGGGCCUCACACCAUCGGAUGUGCCCAGAUGGGAUUAGCUAGUAGGUGGGGUAACGGCUCACCUAGGCGACGAUCCCUAGCUGGUCUGAGAGGAUGACCAGCCACACUGGAACUGAGACACGGUCCAGACUCCUACGGGAGGCAGCAGUAGGGAAUAUUGCACAAUGGGCGCAAGCCUGAUGCAGCCAUGCCGCGUGUAUGAAGAAGGCCUUCGGGUUGUAAAGUACUUUCAGUGGGGAGGAAGGCGAUGGAGUUAAUAGCUUCGUCGAUUGACGUUACCCGCAGAAGAAGCACCGGCUAACUCCGUG